GCUGGCGAGUGGAGGGCAAACGGACUACCACCGCUGACUGAAGCCGUGGAAACUGAUAACAUAGCUUUGGGUGAAUGAUUCUCUCCUGAGGUUCUGGGUUUUAUGCAGCUUGCUAUAGAUCAGGUAACACCUGGCACAGUUGAUUGUAUUAAGUUGAUGAAAUACUUGAGCUGAAGUUUGAGUUUGAUUCCUUUGGUGCUAUAAUUGCGUGGGAACUUGAAGAAUGUAUCGUUGAAUUUGGACAAGAGAUGUUGAAUAAGUGUUUCUUUGUUAGUGUUGUCUGUGGAUGCUUGGUAGUGCAUCCAUUGGUAAUCAACAGCACAUGCAGCAAAAUCAGCAACAAUCUGUAGAAGGUAUAGGUUUUCUUUCUCUCUUUUCAUAGGUGGUAAUUUAUUGAAAUAAGUAGGUGAAGUCUAGGUUUAAAGAAAAAAAAAGCAAGGCAGAGUGUAGCAAAGGGAAGUUGGGUGUACAUGGGGUGGCUUAGUCCCCUUUUCAAGCAAAA
RNAcentral lists this long non-coding RNA (502 nucleotides) under Eucalyptus grandis. Its description in RNAcentral is "long non-coding RNA (EGRA_LNC003072)". The record is from RNAcentral. Lineage: Eukaryota; Viridiplantae; Streptophyta; Magnoliopsida; Myrtales; Myrtaceae.